UUCCCAUAAGUUCCAUAACAAGACAGAGAAGACACUCGAUAAAGGCGACUCAGUUCUUCUAACCUUUACUGAACUGCCAACCUCCUCUAGUUUUUGCAAGAUUGCCAGCUCGCCGGAAAUUGUUAAUGAAUCAGGCCUCGGAGGUUUUGAAGGGGACAUCUGAAAACAUAAAUAGAAACAAAGGAGAAAAGCAAAGGUUGGGGGAAGGGAGGCAGGAAGAGAGUCAAAAACAACAUCGAUGAAGGUUGAAAGCAUAAUACUUUAUAAUAUAAAAUGCCAGGAUUUCAAUACGAGUAAUCAUAGAGCAGACAAGGAAUGUUUCAUGUGAUAGGAGUAUUUUUAGAAUACCAAAGGAACUGGCGAAUGACUAAUCCUCGAAGUUGGAACAUCUUCAAUAGCAGAAACUUGUCUAGAUAAAACCUCCUCUCUCAUGCUAGAUAGGCGCGUAAGUACAGCCUAGAGAAGGUAUGAAAAGAAGGGUGUAAACAAUUAUUUACUCAAAAUAAAAAGAAGAUUCCAAUGAUGACAACUGGAGCACAGAAUUACGUUUCUGAAAUCAUGAGGGUUAGCAACUCCUUUGAUAUGAACAUCGUCACUUGAGGGCCUUCUCACACCAAUGUUUUCGAUUCUAAUAGAGUAUACACCAAAUUGGGACUGUAAAUAUCCUGACAAAAUAUCAAUUUAACAAAAGUUUUAAAAGAUGAAAUGGUAAGAGCCUUCUGAGUAGCAGAAAAUGAGACCUAAGAGUGAUAUCUUCCCUUAAAACAAUAAAUAUUACAAUAGGACACUUCAAAAUGAAUUAUAACAAACACACAAAAAGAAUACAGGACCAAGCUACUACAGACAAGCAUCAUUUCUCCUCCAAAAUACUUUGCAAGUAAAUCCCUAACUUCCUGCCAUAGACUGGGAGGGGGAUAAUUAGUUUUGAUUCAAACAAGUAAUUAUAUGCCUGCGAUGGUAAGAUCAAAACACAAAAGUUGAAAAACAUGAGUGCACUGUCCACAAAACUAGUUGACAACAUCAGAGGACUAACAUUGAUUGAGCAGUUGACACUGUUCUCCCCAUGAAGGCUCACAAGAACAAUAAGAUCGGGUAAUUAGAGAACUGCUAGUUUCAUUUUUAUUUAUGAAAAAUCUGAAAGAAGGGAACGAAGAGCCCUUUACCCACCAGUGUAAAUGUAAGUUUGAGCCACAAAUUUUUAGUUUCCCACCAAAAUCACAUCAUUGCAGACCCCUUACUCUUACCAUGAAUAGAUUAUUAUCUAAUGCAAAACAAAAUAGAUCACGGUUGCUCACUUUUACCUUGUUCUAUUACAACGUCAGCAACUGAAGGUAGUAGAACAUACUUCUCUUUCUUCAAAACCCCCAAAAAGGGAAUCAGCACCGGCCUUUUAACCUGUAAAACUCAGCAUUAAUCAAAUGGGCGACAAAAUUAUACAACAAUAUACGCACAACUUAGUCUAUGAUGAACAAAAUAUGUAGACAGUCCCCCUUCUUAUAAUCGAAUUGCACUUUUCACUCCGUUUAUCCUAUUGAAGAAUCUAACUUAGCAUCACCAAACAUGGUCCUUCACAUCAACCAAAUCGUCUUUGUCAUCUGCUUUUGACUAUUUAAAAAGUAAUGAUCAUAAAACUUGGUCACAAAAUAAUUUCUGAACUUGAAUUUUGGGAAAUUUCCCACAUACAUUGGGCUAGCUAAAUCAACUGAAGUAAAACAAAUUAAAUCGAGCAAGUAGCAUCAAACCCCCAAAACCGUAUAUUAAAAACAAUACACUAAAAUAAUAAAAUAUUUCGAAAAAAUUCAACAAGUUACUUUGUAAACAAUGGCAUUGGGAGUGAUGUAGAGUUUACGAAACCGGAUAUCUUUCCGCAAAAUGUAACGCCGGACCGGCAAAUAAAGCAACAUGAACAAACCGAUGCCCCAUGCCAGUAUCAAAAGCAACGAGUACAAAACCCAUUGAACCGUUUGGUAUUUCACGAAUUUCUCUUCGGCUUCCUUAAACGACGCUGUGUAGAGAACUGGUUCAUCUUCUUCUUCAUUAGGAUUGUCAGGCGGUUCAGAGCCACUGUUUGAACCGGCGCCUGGCAGCAAUAAGUCCCGUUCCAGGCGGUCUAUUUCCACCACCCCAUCUUUCGAUUCCAUCGAACAAUACGAGUAAAACGUGAAUUGGGAAUUUGGGAAGAUUAUUAUUGAAUGUUUUGUCACUAGUUUGUCGGAAAGGAUAAGAAAGGGUAAUUAGUUUGUUGGGUUUCUCGAUGGAAGGGGGCGCGUGGCGUUUAUCAGUUAUUUCAGAUCCAUACCGUUGAUUAUAUCUACCGUGCAAAUUGCAAUUAUAAUGAAGGGUGUGUUUACAUUUAUUUUUCAUGAAAAAUAUCAAAUUUUCACCCAAAUUUUUGUUUAGAGUGUUUGAUUGCUAUUUUUUUUAUGAAAAAUAUUUUUCAACUUCUGAAAAUAUGUCUAAUUUUCCUUGUUUUUAAGGAAAACAUUUUCCUCGGGUAGAAGUGAUUUUUAUUUUCCCUAAAAAAUGGAAAAUAUUUUUUUUUCUAGAAAGGGUUCUGCUCUUCAAUUAAAGUUUGAACUCUCUGCAAGAAUUUUCCCAUAAGUUCCAUAACAAGACAGAGAAGACACUCGAUAAAGGCGACUCAGUUCUUCUAACCUUUACUGAACUGCCAACCUCCUCUAGUUUUUGCAAGAUUGCCAGCUCGCCGGAAAUUGUUAAUGAAUCAGGCCUCGGAGGUUUUGAAGGGGACAUCUGAAAACAUAAAUAGAAACAAAGGAGAAAAGCAAAGGUUGGGGGAAGGGAGGCAGGAAGAGAGUCAAAAACAACAUCGAUGAAGGUUGAAAGCAUAAUACUUUAUAAUAUAAAAUGCCAGGAUUUCAAUACGAGUAAUCAUAGAGCAGACAAGGAAUGUUUCAUGUGAUAGGAGUAUUUUUAGAAUACCAAAGGAACUGGCGAAUGACUAAUCCUCGAAGUUGGAACAUCUUCAAUAGCAGAAACUUGUCUAGAUAAAACCUCCUCUCUCAUGCUAGAUAGGCGCGUAAGUACAGC
Molecule: long non-coding RNA, 3048 nt
Filed under: Olea europaea (common olive)
Lineage: Eukaryota; Viridiplantae; Streptophyta; Magnoliopsida; Lamiales; Oleaceae
Description: long non-coding RNA (OEUR_LNC000710)
Source: RNAcentral